GAUGAACGCUGGCGGCGUGCCUAAUACAUGCAAGUCGAGCGAACAGACGAGGAGCUUGCUCCUCUGACGUUAGCGGCGGACGGGUGAGUAACACGUGGAUAACCUACCUAUAAGACUGGGAUAACUUCGGGAAACCGGAGCUAAUACCGGAUAAUAUAUUGAACCGCAUGGUUCAAUAGUGAAAGACGGUUUUGCUGUCACUUAUAGAUGGAUCCGCGCCGCAUUAGCUAGUUGGUAAGGUAACGGCUUACCAAGGCAACGAUGCGUAGCCGACCUGAGAGGGUGAACGGCCACACUGGAACUGAGACACGGUCCAGACUCCUACGGGAGGCAGCAGUAGGGAAUCUGCCGCAAAGGGCGAAAGCCUGACGGAGCAACGCCGCGUGAGUGAUGAAGGUCUUCGGAUCGUAAAACGCUGUUAUUAGGGAAGAACAAAUGUGUAAGUAACUAUGCACGUCUGGACGGUACCUAAUCAGAAAGCCACGGCUAACUACGU
RNAcentral lists this ribosomal RNA (496 nucleotides) under uncultured bacterium. RNAcentral describes it as "partial 16S ribosomal RNA". It matches the Rfam family "Bacterial small subunit ribosomal RNA", at positions 28 to 506 of the family's 1533-position model. The record is from RNAcentral.